RNAcentral lists this ribosomal RNA (1116 nucleotides) under Acinetobacter sp. NII-56. RNAcentral's name for it is "bacterial SSU rRNA". It matches the Rfam family "Bacterial small subunit ribosomal RNA", at positions 34 to 1156 of the family's 1533-position model. The record is from RNAcentral. Lineage: Bacteria; Pseudomonadati; Pseudomonadota; Gammaproteobacteria; Moraxellales; Moraxellaceae.
CNAUUUGGGGCAGCUAACAAUGCAAGUCGAGCGGAGAGAGGUAGCUUGCUACUGAUCUUAGCGGCGGACGGGUGAGUAAUGCUUAGGAAUCUGCCUAUUAGUGGGGGACAACAUUUCGAAAGGAAUGCUAAUACCGCAUACGUCCUACGGGAGAAAGCAGGGGAUCUUCGGACCUUGCGCUAAUAGAUGAGCCUAAGUCGGAUUAGCUAGUUGGUGGGGUAAAGGCCUACCAAGGCGACGAUCUGUAGCGGGUCUGAGAGGAUGAUCCGCCACACUGGGACUGAGACACGGCCCAGACUCCUACGGGAGGCAGCAGUGGGGAAUAUUGGACAAUGGGCGCAAGCCUGAUCCAGCCAUGCCGCGUGUGUGAAGAAGGCCUUAUGGUUGUAAAGCACUUUAAGCGAGGAGGAGGCUACUUUAGUUAAUACCUAGAGAUAGUGGACGUUACUCGCAGAAUAAGCACCGGCUAACUCUGUGCCAGCAGCCGCGGUAAUACAGAGGGUGCAAGCGUUAAUCGGAUUUACUGGGCGUAAAGCGCGCGUAGGCGGCUAAUUAAGUCAAAUGUGAAAUCCCCGAGCUUAACUUGGGAAUUGCAUUCGAUACUGGUUAGCUAGAGUGUGGGAGAGGAUGGUAGAAUUCCAGGUGUAGCGGUGAAAUGCGUAGAGAUCUGGAGGAAUACCGAUGGCGAAGGCAGCCAUCUGGCCUAACACUGACGCUGAGGUGCGAAAGCAUGGGGAGCAAACAGGAUUAGAUACCCUGGUAGUCCAUGCCGUAAACGAUGUCUACUAGCCGUUGGGGCCUUUGAGGCUUUAGUGGCGCAGCUAACGCGAUAAGUAGACCGCCUGGGGAGUACGGUCGCAAGACUAAAACUCAAAUGAAUUGACGGGGGCCCGCACAAGCGGUGGAGCAUGUGGUUUAAUUCGAUGCAACGCGAAGAACCUUACCUGGCCUUGACAUAGUAAGAACUUUCCAGAGAUGGAUUGGUGCCUUCGGGAACUUACAUACAGGUGCUGCAUGCUGUCGUCAGCUCGUGUCGUGAGAUGUGGGUAGUCCCGCACGAGCGCACCCUUUCCUUAUUUGCAGCGAGUAUGUCGGGAACUUAAGGAUACUGCCAGU